Molecule: ribosomal RNA, 494 nt
Filed under: uncultured bacterium
Lineage: Bacteria
Description: partial 16S ribosomal RNA
Rfam family: Bacterial small subunit ribosomal RNA
Source: RNAcentral
GACGAACGCUGGCGGCGUGCUUAACACAUGCAAGUCGAACGGAAAGACCUGCUUUCCCUUGUGGUGUGCUGGUACUCGAGUGGCUAACUGGUGAGUGACACGUGAGUGUUCUGCCCCCAACUUGGGUAUAAGCCUGGGAAACUGUGUCGAAUUCCCGAUAGGACUGCAGGGUGGUGCCGGUGGUGGAAAACGUUUUUCUAGUGGUUGAGGAUGAGCUCGCGGCCUAUCAGCUUGUUGGGGGGGUAAUGGACUACCAAGGCGGCGACGGGUAGCCGGACUGAGAGGGUGGACGGCCAAAUUGAGACUGGGAUACGGCCCAGACUCCUACGGGCGGCAGCAGUGGGGCAUAUUGCACCAUGGGCGGAAGGGUGCUGCAGCGCGGCAGCGUGGGGGAUGACGGGCUUCGGGUUGUAAACUCCUUUCGACGGAGAGGAAGCCACGUGGUUGGAAGGGUGGUGACGGUAGUGGUAGAAGAAGCACCGGCUAACUACGUG